CGGNAAUUAAUAAUNGAUGGAUGGGCGCAAGCCUGACCCAGCAACGCCGCGUGAAGGAAGAAGGCUUUCGGGUUGUAAACUUCUUUUAAGAGGGAANAAAAAAAAAAAGUACCUCUUGAAUAAGCCACGGCUAACUACGUGCCAGCAGCCGCGGUAAUACGUAGGUGGCAAGCGUUGUCCGGAUUUACUGGGUGUAAAGGGCGUGCAGCCGGGAAGACAAGUCGGAUGUGAAAUCCCGCGGCUCAACCGCGGAACUGCAUUUGAAACUGUUUUUCUUGAGUACCGGAGAGGUCAUCGGAAUUCCUUGUGUAGCGGUGAAAUGCGUAGAUAUAAGGAAGAACACCAGUGGCGAAGGCGGAUGACUGGACGGCAACUGACGGUGAGGCGCGAAAGCGUGGGGAGCAAUUUAAUGAUUAGAUACCCUCCCAGUCCACGCUGUAAACGGUGGAUACUAGGUGUGCGGGGACUGACCCCCUGCGUGCCGCAGUUAACUCUCUACGUAUCCCACCUGGGGAGUACGAUAAAC
This 526-nucleotide ribosomal RNA is filed under the name uncultured bacterium. RNAcentral describes it as "bacterial SSU rRNA". It matches the Rfam family "Bacterial small subunit ribosomal RNA", at positions 349 to 890 of the family's 1533-position model. The record is from RNAcentral.